AGGAAUAUAGUUAAUAAUAACAUUUGAUUUGCAUUCAAAAAGUAUUGGUUACCCAAUUUUUCUUAU
This 66-nucleotide transfer RNA is filed under the name Protochauliodes biconicus. RNAcentral's name for it is "tRNA-Ala". It matches the Rfam family "tRNA". Rfam says of the family: Transfer RNA (tRNA) molecules are approximately 80 nucleotides in length. Their secondary structure includes four short double-helical elements and three loops (D, anti-codon, and T loops). Further hydrogen bonds mediate the characteristic L-shaped molecular structure. tRNAs have two regions of fundamental functional importance: the anti-codon, which is responsible for specific mRNA codon recognition, and the 3' end, to which the tRNAs corresponding amino acid is attached (by aminoacyl-tRNA synthetases). tRNAs cope with the degeneracy of the genetic code in two manners: having more than one tRNA (with a specific anti-codon) for a particular amino acid; and 'wobble' base-pairing, i.e. permitting non-standard base-pairing at the 3rd anti-codon position. The record is from RNAcentral. Lineage: Eukaryota; Metazoa; Arthropoda; Insecta; Megaloptera; Corydalidae.